RNAcentral lists this ribosomal RNA (441 nucleotides) under uncultured bacterium. RNAcentral's name for it is "partial 16S ribosomal RNA". It matches the Rfam family "Bacterial small subunit ribosomal RNA", at positions 338 to 795 of the family's 1533-position model. The record is from RNAcentral.
CCUACGGGUGGCAGCAGUAGGGAAUUUUGCGCAAUGGUGGAAACCCUGACGCAGCAACGCCGCGUGAUCGAUGAAGCCCUUCGGUGUGUAAAGAUCUGUCAGUCGGGACGAAACCUCACGGUACCCACAGAGGAAGCACCUGCUAACUCCGUGCCAGCAGCCGCGGUCAUACGGGGGGUGCAAGCUUUUUCCGGAAUCAUUGGGCUUAACGAGUUCGUAGGUGGCACGUUAAGGCUGGUGUUAAAGGCGGAAGCUCAACUUCCGUAGGGCACUGGAUACUGGCGAGCUUGAAUGCGGUAGAGGUAAAGGGAAUGCCUGGUGUAGCGGUGAAAUGCGUAGAUAUCAGGAGGAACAGCGGUGGCGUAAGCGCUUUACUGGGCCGUAAUUGACACUGAGGAACGAAAGCCGGGGUAGCAAAUGGGAUUAGAUACCCGUGUAGUC